CACCGCGGUUAUACGAGAGGCUCAAAUUGAAAUUCUACGGCGUAAAGCGUGAUUAAAGAAAAUAUUAAACUAAGGCCAAAUACCUUCCAAGCUGUCAUACGCUAACAAAGGCACGAAGCCCUACAACGAAAGUAGCCUUAAAAAUACUUGAACUCACGACUAUUAAGAAA
Molecule: ribosomal RNA, 170 nt
Filed under: Nettastoma solitarium (solitary duckbill eel)
Lineage: Eukaryota; Metazoa; Chordata; Actinopteri; Anguilliformes; Nettastomatidae
Description: partial 12S rRNA
Source: RNAcentral